CCGCCGGAGAUGACAUAAAAAAAUCCGCACAAGAUGCAAAUGAGAAGUCAAAGGACGCUGCGGGUUCAGUCAUUGAUAAAGCAACAGAAGGAACAAAUAAGGCUGUAGAGGCAGCAGAGAGUGCCCAAGAGAAGUCGAAUGAGACGGCUGAGGCUCUGAAGAAUGCAGCAGAGAAGGCAAAGGAGCAAGCGGGAGGAGCGUGGGAGGCGGCCAAGGAAGAGACACAGAAGAUUGCGGAAACAGUGGUUGGAAAGGAAGAUUGAUUAAGGCUUUAAUAUAUCUUGUUUAUGUAUGUUUAUGUCUCAACUCUACCCUGCCUCAAAUGAUAAUUGAUAAUAUAAUUAGAGUUUAAUGGAAAUGCAUUGACGGUGUAAAAUAGUUUUACACUAUCUUUUAUCAUGUCAUAUUAAGAAAGUAUGAUGACGUGAUAGAAAACAUGGUUGAUAUUGUCCGUGCAUAUAUUCAUUUUUUCUUUUCUUUUCAUAUAAUUACGAUAUCAUCAUAUAUGUUUACCAUAUUUUGGAUAUAAUUUUUUCGUUAGAUGGAGAGCUAUUUUAAUUUGGUUUAUAUACUCAUCAAAUUCAUGAACACAUAAUAGUAUUGGAGAUGAACAAUCAUUUCAACCAAAUUCAAUUUGGUUAACAUAGCAUUGAAGUACUUUAUAACUUAAUAAUGGGUGCUAAUGCCUAUGAUAUUACUCAUUCAAGCGGGGUAGAGUUGAGAAUAAGGAUCAUUAGGAACCGGUUCGAGGGCUAAUGGAUUCAAACAAAGGUUUUAGACUUCAAAAAUUUUGGCUGAAAAUAAGUCUCAAAUUUUUUUUCAUUUGGUU
RNAcentral lists this long non-coding RNA (829 nucleotides) under Trifolium pratense (red clover). RNAcentral's name for it is "long non-coding RNA (TPRA_LNC000887)". Lineage: Eukaryota; Viridiplantae; Streptophyta; Magnoliopsida; Fabales; Fabaceae. The record is from RNAcentral.